This 172-nucleotide microRNA precursor is filed under the name Sorghum bicolor (sorghum). Its description in RNAcentral is "pre miRNA MIR2118". It matches the Rfam family "MIR2118 microRNA precursor family". Lineage: Eukaryota; Viridiplantae; Streptophyta; Magnoliopsida; Poales; Poaceae. The record is from Rfam by way of RNAcentral.
GCAAAGAAGAGGAAGAAUGAGAGGUCGUGAGAGCAGUGGGAAUGGGAACAUGGAGGAAAGGCAAAUUUGUUUGUAUCUCAGCCACCAAUAUAGAGGGUUUGAUCUGGUUUGGUCUUUCCCGGUGCCUCCCAUUCCUAUUACUCUCAAGCACUCCUUCCUCAUCCGUUUGCUU